This 76-nucleotide transfer RNA is filed under the name Burkholderiales bacterium. RNAcentral's name for it is "tRNA-Thr". It matches the Rfam family "tRNA". Rfam says of the family: Transfer RNA (tRNA) molecules are approximately 80 nucleotides in length. Their secondary structure includes four short double-helical elements and three loops (D, anti-codon, and T loops). Further hydrogen bonds mediate the characteristic L-shaped molecular structure. tRNAs have two regions of fundamental functional importance: the anti-codon, which is responsible for specific mRNA codon recognition, and the 3' end, to which the tRNAs corresponding amino acid is attached (by aminoacyl-tRNA synthetases). tRNAs cope with the degeneracy of the genetic code in two manners: having more than one tRNA (with a specific anti-codon) for a particular amino acid; and 'wobble' base-pairing, i.e. permitting non-standard base-pairing at the 3rd anti-codon position. RNAcentral also lists the same sequence under 2 other names. The record is from RNAcentral. Lineage: Bacteria; Pseudomonadati; Pseudomonadota; Betaproteobacteria; Burkholderiales.
GCCGGUGUAGCUCAGCUGGUAGAGCAACUGAUUCGUAAUCAGUAGGUCAUCGGUUCGACUCCGGUCACCGGCACCA